Molecule: long non-coding RNA, 471 nt
Filed under: Physcomitrium patens
Lineage: Eukaryota; Viridiplantae; Streptophyta; Bryopsida; Funariales; Funariaceae
Description: long non-coding RNA (PPAT_LNC006916)
Source: RNAcentral
UUCCUAGAAUAAACCCAUAUAAGAGAAUUCGAACAAAGGGAAAGACUAAGCGCAUGAGUUUCACUUGUUAGAAUCACACAAUUAACUGUAUUCCGAACCACUAAAACACUAAGAAAUACUACAAUGCUUCCUUCUAGUAACAAUACUCCUUCAUCAACUGAUAACCACAAUAUGCAACCCUGCACUCUCAAAAGACCGCUCAAAAUUCAAUAAAUUCCAUCCAAUACUAGGAAUAACAAACUUCACUCCAACCAAUCUGAAUUCAUAGAAUUCUUGUAAUCACAGACUUCUUUUAUUGAAAUACACACACACAACUCUCAAUAAACAACAAUUAUAAUCUCCCAUCUAUAAUCAAUCUUCCAAUAACUUCUAUUAUAAUUCAAUCAUUCAGUACUCCAAUUACAUAAUCAAUAAUUUAUAAAUCAAUCUCUGAUUUAUUCCACAGACUCACUUCUCAGUAUUCAAAAACUA